GACAGAGGGUGCAAACGUUGUUCGGAAUUACUGGGCGUAAAGCGCGUGUAGGCGGCAGCGUGUGUCGGGCGUGAAAUCCCAUGGCUCAACCAUGGAAGUGCACCCGAAACUGCGCAGCUAGAGUCCUGGAGAGGAAGGUGGAAUACUUGGUGUAGAGGUGAAAUUCGUAGAUAUUCGUAAGAACACCAGUGGCGAAGGCGACUUUCUGGCUCGAUACUGACGCUAAGGCGCGAAAGCGUGGGGAGCAAACAGG
Molecule: ribosomal RNA, 253 nt
Filed under: uncultured bacterium
Lineage: Bacteria
Description: partial 16S ribosomal RNA
Rfam family: Bacterial small subunit ribosomal RNA
Source: RNAcentral